UACGUAGGCAGCGAGCGUUGUUCGGAGUUACUGGGCGUAAAGGGUGUGUAGGCGGUUCUUUAAGUUUGGUGUGAAAUCUCCCGGCUCAACUGGGAGGGUGCGCCGAAUACUGAGGGACUUCGAGUGCGGGAGAGGAAAGUGGAAUUCCUGGUGUAGCGGUGAAAUGCGUAGAUAUCAGGAGGAACACCGGUGGUGUAGACGGCUUUCUGGACCGUAACUGACGCUGAGACACGAAAGCGUGGGUAGCAAACAGG
Molecule: ribosomal RNA, 254 nt
Filed under: uncultured bacterium
Lineage: Bacteria
Description: partial 16S ribosomal RNA
Rfam family: Bacterial small subunit ribosomal RNA
Source: RNAcentral